GUUAAAUUGGAUACAAUUUUUCAAUUUUUCAUUUGCUAUUUUCUUUUACGUCAAUACUUAGGACAGCGGUUAGGACAUCCUAGCUAAAAUAAUCCUCAGAUAGCUUCGAUGUGCAUGCUGAGACAUGUCGUAAGUCGGUCCCAACUUUAUCCUAAUUUCUGUCCUAAGAAUAUCUUGUAGGACCGAUCUAAGGAUAGUUUCGAUAAACAGGCCCCAGUUCUCAUAAUGUUAUUAUGUAACAAAUAUAUUUU
RNAcentral lists this long non-coding RNA (251 nucleotides) under Mytilus galloprovincialis (Mediterranean mussel). The record is from RNAcentral. Lineage: Eukaryota; Metazoa; Mollusca; Bivalvia; Mytilida; Mytilidae.